This 465-nucleotide ribosomal RNA is filed under the name uncultured bacterium. RNAcentral describes it as "partial 16S ribosomal RNA". It matches the Rfam family "Bacterial small subunit ribosomal RNA", at positions 28 to 507 of the family's 1533-position model. The record is from RNAcentral.
GACGAACGCUGGCGGCGUGCUUAACACAUGCAAGUCGAACGGAAAGGCCCCUUUGGGGGUACUCGAGUGGCGAACGGGUGAGUAACACGUGAGUAACCUGCCCUUGACUUCGGGAUAACUUCAGGAAACUGGGGCUAAUACCGGAUAGGAAUCCUUGCUGCAUGGUGGGGGUUGGAAAGCUUCGGCGGUUUUGGAUGGACUCGCGGCUUAUCAGCUUGUUGGUGGGGUAGUGGCUUACCAAGGCUUUGACGGGUAGCCGGCCUGAGAGGGCGACCGGCCACAUUGGGACUGAGAGACGGCCCAGACUCCUACGGGAGGCAGCAGGGGGGAAUAUUGCACAAGGGGCGGAAGCCUGAUGCAGCAACGCCGCGUGCGGGAUGACGGCCUUCGGGUUGGAAACCGCUUUCAGCAGGGGCGAAGCUUGUGGUGACGGUACCUGCAGAAGAAGCACCGGCUAACUACGUG